UAGUACUGGAAAUGAAUGAGGAAAAAAAAAAAAGAAAAGAAAAAUGAUUUAUUUAUUUUAAAAAAAUGAGAAAGAGUUGAAUUCUCCACCAACUUUGUUCUCGUCGAGUAAGUGAANNNNNNNNNNCCUCAUUCUCUCAACGGAUUUUCCAAAGCCUCUCUAUCUCUAACCAAAGAAUAAAUAAAACCACAACCCAAAGCAAGCUGAGUAGGCAAUCACUGCCAGACGACGAAGG
Molecule: unclassified non-coding RNA, 235 nt
Filed under: Hevea brasiliensis (rubber tree)
Lineage: Eukaryota; Viridiplantae; Streptophyta; Magnoliopsida; Malpighiales; Euphorbiaceae
Source: RNAcentral